ACGCCUGGCGGCGCGGGAAUCAAUUAGUUUGAUCAUGGCUCAGAUUGAACGCUAGCGGUAUGCUUUACACAUGCAAGUUGAACGGAAAUAAAUAAUUAUUCUUUUUGAAUUUUUAUUUUUUUUAGUAGCGAACGGGUGAGUAAUACAUUAGAACGUACUUUGUAGUGGGGAAUACCUUAAUGAAGAUUAAGUUAAUACCGCAUAAUAUUUAAGAAUUAAAGUGGGGGAUUUAUUUUUAUUAUAAACCUUACGCUACAAAAUCGGCUAAUGCCUGAUUAGUUAGUUGGUAUAUUAAAAGUUUACCAAGACUUUGAUCAGUAGCUGUUCUGAGAGGAUGUGCAGCCACAUUGGGACUGAGACAAGGCCCAAACUCCUACGGGAGGCAGCAGUGGGGAAUAUUGGACGAUGAGCGAAAGCUUGAUCCAGCAAUAUCGCGUGUGUGAGGAAGAUUUAAGAAUUGUAAAACACUUUUUUAUAGGAAUAAAAAAAAUUUAACUAAUAAUUAAAUUUUAUGACAGUACUAUAAGAAUAAGUACCGGCUAAUUACGUGCCAGCAGCCGCGGUAAUACGUAAGGUGCAAGCGUUAAUCAGAAUUAUUGGGCGUAAAGGGUGUGUAGGUUGUUUAUUAAGACUUUUGUAAAAUAUUUUAGCUUAACUAAAAAAAUGCAUAAGUAACUUUUAAACUUGAGUUUAAUAGGAGUUGAUAGAAUUCUAUAAGUAGCAGUGAAAUGCGUAGAUAUAGAGGAAUACCGACGGCGAAAGCAAUCAUCUAUAUUAAUACUGACACUGAGGCACGAAAGCGUGGGUAGCAAACAGGAUAGAUACCCUGGUAGUCCACGCCCUAAACAAUGUCAACUAAUUAUUAGAUAAAAUUAUUAUUUAGUGAUGUAGCUAACGCGUUAAGUUGACCGCCUGGGGAUUACGAUCGCAAGAUUAAAACUCAAAGGAAUUGACGGGGAUUAGCACAAGCGGUGGAUGAUGUGGAUUAAUUCGAUGAUACACGAAAAACCUUACCUACCCUUGACAUGAAUUGGAAUUUUGUUGAAAAAUAAAAGUGCCUGUAAAGGAGCCAAUACACAGGUGCUGCAUGGCUGUCGUCAGCUCGUGUCGUGAGAUGUUGGGUUAAGUCCCGCAACGAGCGCAACCCUUGUCCAUAGUUGCUAAAUAUAAAAUUAUUUUAUAUAGAACUUUAUGGAAACCGCUUAACAAUAAAUUAGAAGGAAGGAAAGGAUGACUUCAAGUCCUCAUGGCCCUUAGGGGUAGGGCUUCCACCAUCAAACAAUGGUUGAAACAAAAAGUUUGCAAGAUUGUGAAAUUGAGCUAAUCUAUAAAAUCCAUCCUCAGUCCGGGAUUGUACUCUGCCACUCGAGUACCUGAAAUUGGAAUCCCUAGUAAUCCGCGAACCACCGUGCCCCGGUUGAAUAAAUCCAACUGGAUCUUGUACC
Molecule: ribosomal RNA, 1445 nt
Filed under: beta proteobacterium endosymbiont of Enchenopa permutata
Lineage: Bacteria; Pseudomonadati; Pseudomonadota; Betaproteobacteria
Description: partial 16S ribosomal RNA
Rfam family: Bacterial small subunit ribosomal RNA
Source: RNAcentral